Molecule: transfer RNA, 65 nt
Filed under: Caenorhabditis briggsae
Lineage: Eukaryota; Metazoa; Nematoda; Chromadorea; Rhabditida; Rhabditidae
Rfam family: tRNA
About the family: Transfer RNA (tRNA) molecules are approximately 80 nucleotides in length. Their secondary structure includes four short double-helical elements and three loops (D, anti-codon, and T loops). Further hydrogen bonds mediate the characteristic L-shaped molecular structure. tRNAs have two regions of fundamental functional importance: the anti-codon, which is responsible for specific mRNA codon recognition, and the 3' end, to which the tRNAs corresponding amino acid is attached (by aminoacyl-tRNA synthetases). tRNAs cope with the degeneracy of the genetic code in two manners: having more than one tRNA (with a specific anti-codon) for a particular amino acid; and 'wobble' base-pairing, i.e. permitting non-standard base-pairing at the 3rd anti-codon position.
Source: Rfam by way of RNAcentral
ACCUCAUUGGCUCAGUGGCAGAGCGUCUGUCUAGUAAACAGAAGGUUCGAUUCCAGCAUGAGGCA